UGACUCCUACGGGAGGCAGCAGUGGGGAAUAUUGGGCAAUGGGCGCAAGCCUGACCCAGCAACGCCGCGUGAAGGAAGAAGGCUUUCGGGUUGUAAACUUCUUUUCUCAGGGACGAAGAAAGUGACGGUACCUGAGGAAUAAGCCACGGCUAACUACGUGCCAGCAGCCGCGGUAAUACGUAGGUGGCAAGCGUUAUCCGGAUUUACUGGGUGUAAAGGGCGGGUAGGCGGGGAAGCAAGUCAGAUGUGAAAACCCCGGGCUCAACC
This 267-nucleotide ribosomal RNA is filed under the name uncultured bacterium. Its description in RNAcentral is "partial 16S ribosomal RNA". It matches the Rfam family "Bacterial small subunit ribosomal RNA", at positions 333 to 614 of the family's 1533-position model. The record is from RNAcentral.